RNAcentral lists this ribosomal RNA (770 nucleotides) under uncultured bacterium. RNAcentral's name for it is "bacterial SSU rRNA". It matches the Rfam family "Bacterial small subunit ribosomal RNA", at positions 8 to 796 of the family's 1533-position model. The record is from RNAcentral.
AGAGUUUGAUCAUGGCUCAGGACGAACGCUGGCGGCGUGCUUAACACAUGCAAGUCGAGCGGAAAGGCCCUUCGGGGUACUCGAGCGGCGAACGGGUGAGUAACACGUGAGUAAUCUGCCCCUAGCUCUGGGAUAGCUCCGGGAAACCGGGAUUAAUACCGGAUAGGACCACCUUAGACAUCUUUUGUGGUGGAAAGAAUUUCGGCUAGGGAUGAGCUCGCGGCCUAUCAGCUUGUUGGUGGGGUAACGGCCUACCAAGGCGACGACGGGUAGCCGGCCUGAGAGGGCGACCGGCCACACUGGGACUGAGACACGGCCCAGACUCCUACGGGAGGCAGCAGUGGGGAAUAUUGCGCAAUGGGCGAAAGCCUGACGCAGCGACGCCGCGUGGGGGAUGAAGGCCUUCGGGUUGUAAACCCCUUUCAGCAGGGACGAAGCGAAAGUGACGGUACCUGCAGAAGAAGCGCCGGCUAACUACGUGCCAGCAGCCGCGGUAACACGUAGGGCGCAAGCGUUGUCCGGAAUUAUUGGGCGUAAAGAGCUCGUAGGCGGUCUGUUGCGUCCGCUGUGAAAACUCGGGGCUUAACCCCGAGCCUGCAGUGGAUACGGGCAGACUAGAGGUAGGUAGGGGAGAAUGGAAUUCCCGGUGUAGCGGUGAAAUGCGCAGAUAUCGGGAGGAACACCGGUGGCGAAGGCGGUUCUCUGGGCCUUACCUGACGCUGAGGAGCGAAAGCGUGGGGAGCGAACAGGAUUAGAUACCCUAGUAGUCC